Molecule: ribosomal RNA, 301 nt
Filed under: uncultured bacterium
Lineage: Bacteria
Description: partial 16S ribosomal RNA
Rfam family: Bacterial small subunit ribosomal RNA
Source: RNAcentral
CAGUCGCCACGGUAAUACGAAGGGUGCAAGCGUUACUCGGAAUUACUGGGCGUAAAGCGUGCGUAGGUGGUGGUUUAAGUCCGUUGUGAAAGCCCUGGGCUCAACCUGGGAAUUGCAGUGGAUACUGGGUCACUAGAGUGUGGUAGAGGAUAGUGGAAUUUCUGGUGUAGCAGUGAAAUGCGUAGAGAUCGGAAGGAACAUCUGUGGCGAAGGCGACUAUCUGGGCCAACACUGACACUGAGGCACGAAAGCGUGGGGAGCAAACAGGAUUAGAUACCCGCGUAGUCCCUGUCUCUUAUAA